UACGUUGGGUGCAAGCGUUAAUCGGAAUUACUGGGCGUAAAGCGUGCGCAGGCGGUGAUGUAAGACAGGUGUGAAAUCCCCGGGCUUAACCUGGGAACUGCAUUUGUGACUGCAUCGCUGGAGUGCGGCAGAGGGGGAUGGAAUUCCGCGUGUAGCAGUGAAAUGCGUAGAUAUGCGGAGGAACACCGAUGGCGAAGGCAAUCCCCUGGGCCUGCACUGACGCUCAUGCACGAAAGCGUGGGGAGCAAACAGG
Molecule: ribosomal RNA, 253 nt
Filed under: uncultured bacterium
Lineage: Bacteria
Description: partial 16S ribosomal RNA
Rfam family: Bacterial small subunit ribosomal RNA
Source: RNAcentral